AGAGAAGCUUUUAGAGAGCGA
Molecule: small nuclear RNA, 21 nt
Filed under: Arabidopsis thaliana (thale cress)
Lineage: Eukaryota; Viridiplantae; Streptophyta; Magnoliopsida; Brassicales; Brassicaceae
Description: snRNA_05981
Source: RNAcentral